GAGUUUGAUCCUGGCUCAGGACGAACGCUGGCGGCGUGCUUAACACAUGCAAGUCGAGCGGAAAGGCCCCUUCGGGGGUACUCGAGCGGCGAACGGGUGAGUAACACGUGAGCAACCUGCCCCUGACACUGGGAUAAGCCUGGGAAACCGGGUCUAAUACCGGAUAUGACCUGCCUUCGCAUGGGGGUGGGUGGAAAGGUUGGCCCGUUUGGGUCUUCCGGUCAGGGAUGGGCUCGCGGCCUAUCAGCUUGUUGGUGGGGUAACGGCCUACCAAGGCGACGACGGGUAGCCGGCCUGAGAGGGCGACCGGCCACACUGGGACUGAGACACGGCCCAGACUCCUACGGGAGGCAGCAGUGGGGAAUAUUGCGCAAUGGGCGAAAGCCUGACGCAGCGACGCCGCGUGGGGGAUGAAGGCCUUCGGGUUGUAAACCUCUUUCGGCAGGGACGAAGUUGACGUGUACCUGCGGAAGAAGCGCCGGCUAACUACGUGCCAGCAGCCGCG
RNAcentral lists this ribosomal RNA (505 nucleotides) under uncultured bacterium. Its description in RNAcentral is "bacterial SSU rRNA". It matches the Rfam family "Bacterial small subunit ribosomal RNA", at positions 9 to 519 of the family's 1533-position model. The record is from RNAcentral.